CCUACGGGUGGCAGCAGUGGGGAAUAUUGGGCAAUGGGCGCAAGCCUGACCCAGCAACGCCGCGUGAAGGAAGAAGGCUUUCGGGUUGUAAACUUCUGUUCUGAGGGACGAAGAAAGUGACGGUACCGCAGGAAUAAGCAACGGCUAACUACGGGACAGCAGCCGCGGGAAUACGGAGGUGGCAAGCGUUCUCCGGAUUUAUUGGGUGUAACGGGCUUGUAGGCGUGAUAGCAAGUCAGAUGUGACAGCUCAGGGCUCAACCCGGAGCCUGCAUUUGAAACUGUUUUUCUUGUGCGCUGGAGCGGCAAUCGUAAUUCCGUGUGUAGCUGUGAAAUGCGUAGCUAUCCGGAGGAACACCAGUGGCGAAGGCGGCUUGCUGGACAGUAACUGACGCU
This 395-nucleotide ribosomal RNA is filed under the name uncultured bacterium. RNAcentral's name for it is "partial 16S ribosomal RNA". It matches the Rfam family "Bacterial small subunit ribosomal RNA", at positions 338 to 747 of the family's 1533-position model. The record is from RNAcentral.